GAGUUUGAUCCUGGCUCAGGGUGAACGCUGGCGGCGCGCUUAAUGCAUGCAAGUCGAGCGUGAUCGUGGCUUCGGCCACAAUGAUAAAGCGGCAGACGGCUGAGUAACGCGUGAGUAAUCUGCCCUCCGGUGGGGUAUAACCUCGGGAAACUGAGGAUAAUCCCGCAUACGACCUGCAUCCCAUGGGAUGCAGAUGAAAGGCUUUGGUCGCCGGAGGAGGAGCUCGCGUCCUAUCAGGUUGUUGGUGGGGUAAUGGCCCACCAAGCCGAUGACGGGUAGCUGGUCUGAGAGGAUGACCAGCCAGAGGGGGACUGAGAACGGCCUCCACUCCUACGGGAGGCAGCAGCAGGGAAUCUUGGGCAAUGGGCGAAAGCCUGACCCAGCGACGUCGCGUGGGGGACGAAGGCCUUAGGGUUGUAAACCCCUUUUCCGAGGGAAGAUACAGGACGGUACCUCGGGAAUAAGCCCCGGCUAACUACGUGCCAGCAGCCGCGGUAAUACGUAGGGGGCAAGCGUUACCCGGAAUCACUGGGCGUAAAGUGCGCGUAGGCGGUUGGAUAAGUCUCUUGUGAAAGCUCCCGGCUCAACUGGGAGAGGUCAAGGGAUACUAUUCGACUUGAGGACAGCAGAGGUAAGCAGAAUUCCCGGUGUAGCGGUGGAAUGCGUAGAUAUCGGGAGGAACACCAGUGGCGAAAGCGGCUUACUGGGCUGUAGCUGACGCUGAGGCGCGAGAGCGUGGGGAGCAAACUGGAUUAGAUACCCUGGUAGUC
RNAcentral lists this ribosomal RNA (770 nucleotides) under uncultured bacterium. RNAcentral's name for it is "bacterial SSU rRNA". It matches the Rfam family "Bacterial small subunit ribosomal RNA", at positions 9 to 795 of the family's 1533-position model. The record is from RNAcentral.